GUGUCAGCCGCCGCGGUAAUACGUAGGGGCCAAGCGUUGUCCGGAAUUAUUGGGCGUAAAGGGCGCGUAGGCGGCUUGAUAAGUCAGAUGUUAAAUCUACAGGCUUAACCUGUAGCCGCAUCUGAUACUGUCUUGCUAGAGAGUGGUAGAGGAAAGCGGAACUUCCGGUGUAGCGGUGAAAUGCGUAGAUAUCGGAAGGAACACCAGUGGCGAAGGCGGCUUUCUGGACCAUUUCUGACGCUGAGGCGCGAAAGCCAGGGGAGCAAACGGGAUUAGAUACCCCUGUAGUCC
RNAcentral lists this ribosomal RNA (291 nucleotides) under uncultured bacterium. RNAcentral's name for it is "partial 16S ribosomal RNA". It matches the Rfam family "Bacterial small subunit ribosomal RNA", at positions 505 to 796 of the family's 1533-position model. The record is from RNAcentral.